Molecule: ribosomal RNA, 456 nt
Filed under: uncultured bacterium
Lineage: Bacteria
Description: bacterial SSU rRNA
Rfam family: Bacterial small subunit ribosomal RNA
Source: RNAcentral
AACGAAACGCUGCCGGCGUGGAUAAGACAUGUAAGUCGAACGGAGAUUUUUUAGAGCUUGCUUUGAAAAGUCUUAGUGGCGAACGGGUGAGUAACACGUGAGUUACCUGCCCCGAAGCGGGGGAUAACCCGGGGAAAUCCGGACUAAUACCCCAUGUGCUCGUAAGAGUAAAGACGGUGAAAGCUGUCGCUUUGGGAUGGGCUCGCGGCCUAUCAGCUUGUUGGUGAGGUAACGGCUCACCAAGGCUAUGACGGGUAGGCUGAUCUGAGAGGAUGAUCAGUCACACUGGAACUGAGACACGGUCCAGACACCUACGGGUGGCAGCAGUCGAGAAUCAUUCGCAAUGGGCGCAAGCCUGACGGUGCGACGCCGCGUGGAGGAUGAAGGCCCUAGGGUCGUAAACUCCUGUCAUCAGGGAGUAAUCUCGUGAAGUAACUAUCACGGUCUUGAUAGUAC